GUGGUUAGAUAACUUAAAGGUUCCCAUUAACUGUUUUGCCCCCAGGAAGCAGUUCCCAGUUGAUGGGGCCGUACACUCCCCACCACACUGAGAGCAUGACUUUUUUGGGGUGAAGGUCGGGUUUGGCGGCACCCUGUGGGGUUUCUCCU
Caenorhabditis elegans is the source of this 149-nucleotide non-coding RNA. Lineage: Eukaryota; Metazoa; Nematoda; Chromadorea; Rhabditida; Rhabditidae. The record is from Ensembl.